UUUAUUCUCUUUUUUGUUAUACGGAUGGAAUUUUAUUUUGCAUUUUUUAUUAGACUUCACGUACAUAAAGUGUGAUCGUGUGAAGUACCCUUUGGUUACUUUUGCUGUACAGUUUUACAGUUCAACACCUCUUAUGAAAUUUCCAACUACAGACGACGAAAAUAACCUAUAGAAUAUUUAAUGGGUUUACAGUUUUAUCAACGGGUUCAGUUCAAUAUUCGCACAGAUACCAAAUAUCGCUAACCUUAAGGGUUCUUCUGGAACUACUGCAUUUAAAAUAAUGUCAUAACAUUCAUAAGGACUACUUGCACAAAACCCCGGCUUUUUUUCCAAUUCUAAGAAAAACAAACCAA
Molecule: long non-coding RNA, 353 nt
Organism: Lucilia cuprina (Australian sheep blowfly)
Lineage: Eukaryota; Metazoa; Arthropoda; Insecta; Diptera; Calliphoridae
Exons: 2
Source: RefSeq, a predicted model, not a curated record